RNAcentral lists this ribosomal RNA (301 nucleotides) under uncultured bacterium. RNAcentral describes it as "partial 16S ribosomal RNA". It matches the Rfam family "Bacterial small subunit ribosomal RNA", at positions 509 to 809 of the family's 1533-position model. The record is from RNAcentral.
CAGUAGCCGCGGUAAUACGAAGGGGGCUAGCGUUGUUCGGAAUUACUGGGCGUAAAGCGCACGUAGGCGGAUCGAUCAGUCAGGGGUGAAAUCCCAGGGCUCAACCCUGGAACUGCCUUUGAUACUGUCGAUCUGGAGUAUGGAAGAGGUGAGUGGAAUUCCGAGUGUAGAGGUGAAAUUCGUAGAUAUUCGGAGGAACACCAGUGGCGAAGGCGGCUCACUGGUCCAUUACUGACGCUGAGGUGCGAAAGCGUGGGGAGCAAACAGGAUUAGAUACCCCCGUAGUCCCUGUCUCUUAUCA